UCGCUCCUACCGAUUGAGUGAUCCGGUGAAUAAUUCGGACUGCAUCAAUAUUGAAUUCUUCGAUGUUGAAGCGGAAAGUUUAGUGAACCUUAUCACUUAGAGGAAGGAG
Molecule: ribosomal RNA, 109 nt
Filed under: uncultured eukaryote
Lineage: Eukaryota
Description: partial small subunit ribosomal RNA
Rfam family: Eukaryotic small subunit ribosomal RNA
Source: RNAcentral